Molecule: long non-coding RNA, 6939 nt
Organism: Pan troglodytes (chimpanzee)
Lineage: Eukaryota; Metazoa; Chordata; Mammalia; Primates; Hominidae
Exons: 2
Source: RefSeq, a predicted model, not a curated record
GGUCAGGGUCAGGGGUCCCACUCUGUGGGUUGUGUAUUUACUCUGCUGACUGUUCCCUUUGCCAUGCAAAAGCUCUUUAGUUUAAUUAAGUCCCAGAUAUUUAUCUUUGUUUUUAUUGCAUUUGCAUUUGGGUCCUUGGUCAUGAAAUCCUUGCCUUUGCCAAUGUCUAGAAGGGUUUAUCCAGUGUUAUCUUCUAGAAUUUUUAUAGUUCAGAAAAUAGGUUUAAGUUCUUAAUCCAUCUUGAGUAGAUUUUUGUAUAAGGUGAGAGAUGAGAAUGCAGUUUUAUUCCCCUACAUGUGGCUCGCCAAUUAUCCCAACAUCAUGUGUUGAAAAGGGUGUCCUUUCCCCCAUUUUAUGUUUUUGUUUACUUUGUCGAAGACCAGUUGGCUGAUUAUACUUGGGCAUAUGUCUAAACAAAACACGUAUAGAUCUGUAUGCAGAAAAUCAUGAAACACUAAAGCAAGAAAUUAAAGAACACUUAAAUGAACAGACUUGUUAUAUUAAUGAACUGGAAAACUCAAUGUGAGAAAGACAGAUCUACUGAUUUAACAUAAUGUCAAUGAAAAUACCAGCUGAAUUUUUGGGUAGAUAUAAAUAAGCUGAUUCUAAAAUGCAUGGAAAGGCAUGCAUUCCAUUUAUAUGGAAAGGCAAAGGAACCAGAAUAGCUAAAAACAAUUUUGGAAAAAAAGAAUAAAUUUGGAGGAAUCAGACUAUCCUAAGAUUUACUAUCAAGCUACAGUAAAUAUGACAUCUUGGUACUGGUGAAGAGAUACACACAUAGAUCAAUUUAGCAGAACAUAGUACAGAAAUAAACCCAAACAAGUGGUGUUGGGAUGGUUGGUCAUUCAUAUGUAAAGAAAUAAACCCCAACUUAACCAUCGCAUAUUAUUAAAAAGUUAACUCACAAUGGAUCACAGAUUUAAGUGUAAAACCAUAAAACGUCUAGAACAAGAGAAAAUCUUCAUGACCUGGGGCUAGGCAGACUUCUUAGACAUGACAUCAAAAGCACAAUCCAAAAAAGAUAACAUCGAUAAAUCAGAUGUCAUUAAAAUUAGAAAUUUUGUUCUGCAAAAGACACUAUUAAGAGAAUGAAAAGACAAGCUACAGGCUGAGAAGAAAUAUUUGCAAAUCACACAUCCAAAAAAGGACUUAUAUCCAGAAUAUAUAAAUAGCUUUCAAAAAUCAACAAUAGGAAAAAUAUAACCCAUUGUAAAACUGGGCAAAGCAUGCAUACAGACACUUCCGCAAAGAAGAUAUAAGGAUGGCAAAGAAACAACAACAAAAAAGUAAUAUCUGCUGAACACCAUUAGCCAUUAGGGAAAUGUAAAUUAAACUCACAAUGCUUAGAAUGGCUACAAUAAAAAAAUAAGGAAAAUACUAAGUGCUGAUGAAGAUGUAAAUAAACUGGAAAUUUCUACAUCAUUAGUGAGAAUGCAAAAUGGCACAGAUACUACAAUUUGACAGUUUCUUAUAAAGUUAAACAUGCAUUUCCCAUAUGACCCAGUAAACAUACUCCUGGCUUCGUAUGCUACAGAAAUAAGCACAAAAAAACUAUACAUGAAUGUUUAUAUCAGCUCUAUUGAUAAAUGCCAAAAAGUGGGGGAAAAAGUCUAUCAACCAGUGAAUAGAUGAACUGUGAUAUAUCCAUAAAGUGGAUACUUCCGUUAACCAGAAGUAAAAGAAAUGAAGUAUUGAUACGUAUAACAACUUGGGUGAAUGUCAAGAGCAAUUUGCUGAGUAAAAGAAUCCGGUCUCAAAUGUUACAUAUAGCAUCAGUCCAUUUAUAUGACAUUCUCAAAAAGACAAAGCUGUAGAGUUUUAGUGCUUAUGGUAGUUGCCAGUGGUUACAGGUAUGGUGAGGGGUAAUUAUGAGGGAAGACAUGAGCAGAGUUUUUGGGGUGAUGGAAAUGUUCUUUUUCUGACUACGGUAGUCAUUACACAAACUAUGCCUGUGUUGUAAUAGAAUUGUACACCAAAAAUAACAAAAUAGUCAAUUUUACUGUAGAAACAUUUCUUAAAAACCUGUUUUAAAAACCUGGAAACACAAUCUCAGUUAUAAGGCAUGGUCUAUAAAUGUUGUUAUCAUUUCUAACAAUUUGUUUCCAGGGAUUUUUUUUUUAGAUUAUCGAAACAUAACCAAUCAUUGCUCUUCAACUCUUCAAUACUCUGAAAUAGUUGGUGGAUUAUAUAGCCUACCAAUAUUAAGUGAGAUUAAGGAAUAUAUCCAGGGGUUAUUUCUAUUCUAUUUUGAUACCUAAUUCCAAUUCUACACUGCAAAUCCUUGAUGCCAGCUGUCUGUUGAGUAGCUACUCUAACCAUAAACACUUAACAACUUUGUACGAUGUCCUGGACACAUAGAGAAAAAUAUGACAUGGUCCCAGAAAUAGAAGAACUUUCAGUGUAUGGACUUAGAUAAAGAGAAAUAAGAAACAAAGAGCUAUAAGACUAAGGCAAGGCAAACUCUAUACUGGAACACAAAAUUCAGCACCAUUCUUCUCCAAGGUACAACUCUCUUGCGUCCCCUAGCGUCCUCAAGUAAGGACCAUUCUGUAAGCUGCAACGAAUGAAAACCUUAGAGUAGCUGCUGGCAUUUCCCUUUCACGGUCUUGGAUAUAAGCAAUUUAUGAUCAUCAAUGUUUGACAAUUAUGACAAUCAAUCAAACAAUAUUAUACUAAGUCGAUGUUAGAGAUUUGGUUUAAAAUACUGAAACCAAAAAAAAAGGGGCAUGGAGUUGAUCCGAGACAGGCAAAUGUUAACAAAGGUUGAAGCUGGGUGAUGCUUCCACAGAAUUAUUUUAGUCAUAUUACAUUUGGCUAUGCUUAUAAAUUUCCAUAGUAAAAACUUAAGGGAAAAAUAAAAGCUAUGAAGUCUAUUUGGUUAAACAUGGGUAAAAAUCCAAAAAGAAGUCUACUGGAAGAGGAAAACAUUGAAUUAAUAUUGUUAUUGUUAUAUCUUGUGGUUAGCAUAAUUAAUUUUUUUCUUUUACUCUUUCUAUACUUUCUUAAUCUUUUACAAUAUGCAAUCAUUUAUAUAAUCAGAAUAUGAACGUAAAUAUUUCAAAUAAAAUUAAAUUACAGAUAACUAAAAAAAAUAAAAAAUUCAAAGCUCAUUAACCUCGCUUUUACGGUCCUCUAGAAAAAUCCAAACAUGUCUUCUGAAGCUGACACUAAACACAUCAAGAACUAAGGCAAUGGAUGGAAACUAUCUGAAUUCAAAUCUCGGCUCAGGCUCUUACCACCUGGGUGACCUAAAGAUAAACCACCUAUGCUGUGUGUCUCUAUGCUUUUCUUUAAGAUGGGAAUGGUGGCACCCAACCCAGCCUCAAAGGGCUCUUGUGAGGAUUAAAUAUGUUGAUUCAUAUCAAACUCUUAGAAUGAUCAGCACUCAAUGUUUAAAUACUAUCUUUAUUAUUCAUGCCCAAGUUCUCCCUCAUCCGUUUCUGCAUUUAUUGAACAAAUAUCAGGGCAUCUUCGAGCAGAAUUUGCCAAUGAAUGAAGGAAAUAUCGUCUCCCCUGGGAAGAAAGGAUGAUAAGUACUACUCAAGUGAGACUCCGCUGCCAAGUGCCAAAGGGUUAUUCCCUCCUUCUCCCUGCAGCCUUUUUCAAGAAGUCAAGGCUAAAGAAGGAAAGGAGGAUGGGAGAAAUCAGAACUCCUGCAUGAAUUACAGUGGACUGCCCAGACAGCCCGGAGUGAUCCUCUCCUAAAGAAAAAUCUCUCAGUGAUCAGAAAAGGGCCAGGGAUACUCUGCAGCUGGAGCUCUGACCCCAUCCUGGGCUCACAGAAGCUUUCAGGGAACUGAGUCCUUCUCAGAAAAUUAAAAAGUGCUAAUAACAAGAGACCCAUCUUCUACCACCUGUCAGGCUCUGUUCCAAGCCUUUUUAUUUAACUCUCAAAAGAACUCCAUUAGAUAGAUACUAGUACCAUUUUAAAGAAAAAGAAACAUAGGCAGAGAGAUUAAGAUACUCGCCUUUUAUUAUACUGCUAGGAAAUGGCAGAGCUGGCUGAUGGUCAGGGGAAAGGGCUGGGGGAGUACAGAACCCAGGAGAUUCCCCAGUCCCUGCGAUGUAGGAUCCCGGACCCCCUGCGCUAAGUGGAGAUGCGCCAGCUGCCCCACACUGGAGAAGGCUCAAAGAAAACAAAUCCCACCCUUCGCCGCAGGUGGAUUCUCCUCCCCUAGGGCUACUGUCCAGUUGCUACUGGCCUCCCGCAAAACGAACAUCAGUAUAGACGGAAGGAGCAGGACGCAGGGCGGGGAGGGUCACCUUUCUGGGAGGAAAGAAGGCCGCGACCUAGCGUACCUUGGGCGGAAGUGGCUCUCCCUACGGAGACCUCCUGGACUACGCUUCCCAGAAUUCUCGACGGGAUCAGGGAGACGGCCUCAGCCUCCUAGAGCGGAAGUUACACGACUACACGGGGCUCCCAAACUACACUUCCCAGAAUUCCUAGAAAAACUCUCCACUCUCUGCCUGCCUAGGACGCAAGUGCAGGGUGCCAAGCGGAGAGCCUGGAUCAUAUUUCACAUGUGCCUGUCCCAGAGGAAUUCCUUAACUCUCCCUUCCUGGAACCGAAAUGCUUCCAAAGACAGAGAGCUCCUAUAUAUAUUUCUCUGUUUUCCCCAGAGGACCGUGCAUGAAAGGCGCCUUUCCUGGCGCGUGUGUCUCUGACCCUGUGGAUCUUCUGGACAAUUCCCGGAAUUUCUUGCAGGGCAGCACUUCCCCUUAAGUCGUCUCUUUCUCGUUUGGAUAGUCAGUAUUUGUAUAGUCACUAUUCUCUUUUGGUUAGCCGUCUAAUUUUAUACUGCUAGUCAAGCUCUACUCCCUUCCCCCUAGAGUUUGAAUUUAUUUUUCUUCAAACGCUACACAAACCCAAAUAAACUCAACCAAAGCGGACUUUACCUACCUUCCUACCUACCUACCAAGAAAAUAUCCCACAAAGGAGAGAACGGAGAAGCUUGCAAUACAGGAAGAAAAAAAAAGAAUUACAGAAUGGAAGGGAUGUGUGCGCUAAAAAUGCAGGUACUUAAAGGAAAUUGGGCUGAUUUGUACUGGACACCGAAUUUGAGGAAUACAGGAUCUCAAUCUUUCUUUGACUGGAUUACUUUUUUAUUCCAUUUUGGUGUGGACGCGUCUGAAACUGAUAGUGCUGCUGCUACCUACCAUAAUGUGUUUGUUGCAAGAUCCACAAGAACGUGGAUGCCAAGAAUCCACAAAAAAAAAAAAACAGAUGCGACCGUUGAUGAGGCCAUAAGCAGAAACAAUGUGCUAGCAGAAUGUGCUAAUUAGUAAAUAUCUUCUGCCCUGAGAAGAGAGAUGACACAGCAAGAAGAAGGAUGCUAAGUCAUACUCAGUUAAGAUUCUGCUGCUAGGAGCCAAAGCGUCAUUCUUUCCUCAUUCCUGUGACCAUCUGAGAGAAACCAGAACUAUGUCUCCCUCCUGCACGAAUCAGAGGACAUCCCCAUACAAUAGCCUGGAGUGAUUCCCGCCCCACCCCCCACCCCCAUCCCCACACCCCCACCCCCACUUUUUUAAAAAGGGAAUCCAGGAAUCGUCCUGCUUCCUGUAAGGAUCAGAAAGAAGGGGCAAAAUAGCACUGCAGGUGGAACUCUGAUCCCUUCCCAGGCUCACAGAAGCUUUCAGGUAACUGGGGCUUCUCGGGAAAUUAAAAGAAAAUUAAUAAAAUGAACCAGACUUACCGCCUUUUACUUGUGACUAUCUCAUUUAAUUCUCCACUGAACUGCAUCGCUUUGGUACUUCUAUUCCCCUCAUGUUACGUAAAAGGAAUGCGAGGCACAUACAGUUUGAAUUACUUCCCAAUUUCACACCCCUAGAAGGUGGCAGAACUGCCUGGUCAGUCCUGGAGUAGGAACAGAGCGCACAAAAUACAAGAGAUUCUCAACCCGCCAAGACCAAAUUCUGCAAACUCGACCAAGGGUCACUCACCUGGGGCCCAACCCCAUCUUCCACUGCUAGCCACGGAUGCUCUUCUUGAAGACAAGGAGGGCCACCGCCAGGCUAAACGAAACAUUGCUGUCUCAGGCCUCACUCAACUUCCUGAAACGAAUGAUGACCUCACUUUCAUGGAGCAGAAGUGACUGUACUUACCCACAAUUCCUGGAUUAUAACCCCAGAAUCCCCAAUGAGAUAAUCGUCACAGCCACGCCCUCCUGUAGCAGAAGCCUGGCCGCCUACACAGAGCUCCAAGGUUACUGCUCCCAGAAUCCUUGCAAAGAAUUGGCAAUGUCGUUGCCUUUCUCUGGCGGAGGGCUGGCUACUACCGUUUGAAUUUGGACUGUAUGUCACACAAUUCUAGAGCAGAAUGCAAACUCAGCACUGUCUUCUUUGAACCAAAAUGUCACCAAAAACAGGAUUCUAAUUUAUACUUAAUAUUUCCCCCAGAAGCCCAAUCAUUAAAGCCACCUUUCCUGGAACAGAAGUGUUUUUGACGCCGUGAAUCCUUUGGACCAGUUUCCAGAAUCCUCUUCAGGUAGCGCUUCUCACCAGCGUUUCCCUUUUUAUUUUGGAUAACUAGGUUCAGUCCGAAUCAUUCUAUCUCACUGGUCAAGCUCAGCCUUCUUUUUCCUUAUUCUCAUUUUUUUCUUUCACAUGUGACAAAACAAGUGUAUUUGAACGCCACUCCCACCCUGUCCCCCACCCAAUUCCCUUUAGUAGAGAACACAGUUUGAAAUGAAAAGGAGGCAUAAAUUAUAAAGGGGAAGAUAUGUGUGAGCUAAAAAUGCAGAACUUAGAAACGGGGCACGAAUGUAAGGAACACAAGAUCUCAAACCUACUUUGACUGGAUUUUCUACUUUAAUCCAUGUGUGUUGGAUGCAUCUAGAACUCUUGGCGGUGUUAUCAGAUAUAAGCUAUUCAUUCCAUGAUACAAGAACCCACAAGAAGGUCAUGCAAAGUUCAUUAAAGUAUAAAGCAGAAGCAGCAAAA